UACGAAGGGGGCGAGCGUUGUUCGGAAUUACUGGGCGUAAAGGGCGCGUAGGCGGCGACCCAAGUCAGAUGUGAAAGUCCUGGGCUUAACCUGGGGACUGCAUUUGAUACUGGGUUGCUUGAAUUCGGGAGAGGAUAGCGGAAUUCCCAGUGUAGAGGUGAAAUGCGUAGAUAUCUGGAGGAAUACCGGUGGCGAAGGCGGCAUCCUGGACCAUUACUGACGCUGAGGCGCGAAAGCUAGGGGAGCAAACGGG
Molecule: ribosomal RNA, 253 nt
Filed under: uncultured bacterium
Lineage: Bacteria
Description: partial 16S ribosomal RNA
Rfam family: Bacterial small subunit ribosomal RNA
Source: RNAcentral